Long non-coding RNA from Thalassophryne amazonica, 416 nucleotides. RefSeq lists it as uncharacterized. Lineage: Eukaryota; Metazoa; Chordata; Actinopteri; Batrachoidiformes; Batrachoididae. The record is from RefSeq and is a predicted model, not a curated record. The transcript is spliced from 3 exons.
UGUGGCACACUUCUUCAAGACCCUUUCUUCUGCCAUCUCAACCAACGUUGGUGCACCUCAGGGCUGCGUAAGUUCUGCAAUACUUUUCACUCUAUACACAGAUGAUCUCCGUUCAACUUUAAAUAACCAGUACGUUUUGAAAUACUCUGACGAUACCGUUUUGCUGACAUUACUACAUGAUUAAGAAAGUCCUGAUGUGCACCAACAAGGUGGUAAUGAAGUGGUCACAUGGAGCAAAAACAAAGCUCUGGAGAUAUACACAAAGAAAACCGAGGAAACUGUGUUUAGUCCAAAACCAGUAAGGGUAAACCCCACAAUCAUUAAUAAUGAAAUAAUCCAACAGGUGGAGUUAUAUAAAUAUCUUGGAAUAAUGAUAGAUGCUACUCUACCUUGGAAACAUUAUAUUGACUACAUCU